UGGGGAAUCUUGGGCAAUGGGCGCAAGCCUGACCCAGCCAUGCCGCGUGUGUGAAGAAGGCCUUCGGGUUGUAAAGCACUUUCAGUGGUGAAGAAAAGCCUGGGGCUAAUACCCUCGGGUCUUGACGUUAACCACAGAAGAAGCACCGGCUAACUCCGUGCCAGCAGCCGCGGUAAUACGGAGGGUGCGAACGUUAAUCGGAAUUACUGGGCGUAAAGCGCGCGUAGGCGGUUCGAUAAGUGGGAUGUGAAAGCCCUGGGCUCAACCUGGGAACUGCAUUCCAAACUGUCGGGCUAGAGUGUGGUAGAGGGAGGUAGAAUUUCCUGUGUAGCGGUGAAAUGCGUAGAUAUAGGAAGGAAUACCAGUGGCGAAGGCGGCCUCCUGGACCAACACUGACGCUGAGGUGCGAAAGCGUGGGGAGCAA
Molecule: ribosomal RNA, 424 nt
Filed under: uncultured bacterium
Lineage: Bacteria
Description: bacterial SSU rRNA
Rfam family: Bacterial small subunit ribosomal RNA
Source: RNAcentral